This is a non-coding RNA of Candidatus Adlerbacteria bacterium, 87 nucleotides long. Lineage: Bacteria; Candidatus Adleribacteriota. The record is from Rfam.
GGAGAGGUGCCAGAGCGGUCGAAUGGAGCAACCUGCUAAGUUGUUGACCCCGAAAGGGGUCCGAGGGUUCGAAUCCCUCCCUCUCCG